GUACGAGGCUCGGCAGUCAAUGGACAUCUUGCAACCGCGAUUUUGACAUAAACGAAGUGCUGUCUUUUUGCGCACCUUUCGAGCAGUAACCUGCGCCGUUUAUUGAAAGGGGACCUCAGUCUUUGUCGUCUGCUGAACGUGGUUUUCUCGGCACAAAUCAACUUCAAUAAAUUAGACGACAGGGGAGAAGUCUAACAGAAGGCCUAUCAGACAGGUGCCAACUGGUUCUUCUAAAGGCAGGAAAAUCUUAGAGACUUGGCCAACGUCAGGGGUGGUGCACCAAGGAAACCUUCACUUUCAAUUCUUUCAAAUUUAUCAAUCUUGUAGGUGUACUUUUGUGGCAGCUUUGAUCUCAUGUGGUACUUGAAAAUUGUCGCUGACACUUUGGUUGUGGGUUGUCCUUCUUUUCUUCACAAGUGGUGGUAUACAGUCAUCGGCGGCUACUUGUUCUUUCUCCUGAGAGUCUGUCAUGACUCCUAGAAUGACAGGGAAUAAUGAUAAUUGUGAUCUGUCUGAUGACAUAAAUAUGUGGAAGCCCCUCUAUACAAGACACUUUACAUAAACCAACG
Molecule: long non-coding RNA, 569 nt
Organism: Corticium candelabrum
Lineage: Eukaryota; Metazoa; Porifera; Homoscleromorpha; Homosclerophorida; Plakinidae
Exons: 4
Source: RefSeq, a predicted model, not a curated record